This is a long non-coding RNA of Coccinella septempunctata (seven-spotted ladybird), 700 nucleotides long. RefSeq lists it as uncharacterized. The record is from RefSeq and is a predicted model, not a curated record. The transcript is spliced from 2 exons. Lineage: Eukaryota; Metazoa; Arthropoda; Insecta; Coleoptera; Coccinellidae.
CUUAUCUAUAUAAUAUGGAUUAUAUAUAAUCUUUUCAAUUUUAUCAUACCAAAAAAAAAUAUUGUUUGUAAAAAAUAUGAAGGUCAACAAACAUACUCCCAUAAUUCACAGUAGUCGUGAAUUGACCAUAUGAUUUGAUUUAAUUAAUUUUCCAGUUUGUUAUUUUACUGUUGUUGAAUUUGUGAGAGGAAUUUGCUCAAAUUAGCUUGAAUUCCUUCGUUAUUUUCGUUUGGUGUGUUUAUGUGUGCUUCCUAAUUCACUUACAGGACUUUCAAGGGAAAUUGUUGUGGAAAUCAGUGACGAAUCUAACCAAACUCAAUAGUUGCCACAAGUCUCAAGAAAAUCCUUCUAAAAUUACCACAACUGCUCACUCAAUUUAAAAACAUAAGAAAAUCUUAAAUGUUCAAAAGUGAGGAAGUUGUUCCGACGCUUGGGAAAAUGACACAAGUAUUCUCCUAUGUAGUUCUUCUUUUACAAAUGGUAGCUUUCAUAUUGAUUGUACUGAUACUUUUUUAUCUUAUUCAAUUGAGGUAUACGAUGAGUGUUUUAAGUAGUUGAGAUUGAAUGUGUUCAUUAGUGAUCAUAAUGUGACACUAUUUACAUAUAAAUAUCAUUACUGGGUUUGUUAUUAAACUCAUUUUUCUGUUACUCAAUCUUAUCCACUGGUGAUGACAGAGAAACCAUUAAAUUGAAUAGUGCA